This 263-nucleotide unclassified non-coding RNA is filed under the name plant metagenome. RNAcentral's name for it is "partial contains small subunit ribosomal RNA, internal transcribed spacer 1, and 5.8S ribosomal RNA". The record is from RNAcentral.
UUUCCGUAGGUGAACCUGCGGAAGGAUCAUUAUUGUAUAACCGAGGUGCGAGGGCUGUCGCUGACCCGAAAGGUCGUGCACGCCCGAGGGCCCUCACACACAUCCAUCUCACCCCUAUGUGCACCACCGCGUGGGUCCCCCUUUGGCUUGUUCGGAGGGGGGCUUACGUUUUCACACAAACUUUGUAUGCAGUGUAGAAUGUAUUUUUUGUGUUUGCGAUCACGCAAUCAAUACAACUUUCAACAACGGAUCUCUUGGCUCUC